CACACGCACGUGUUAGGGGCCACGUGAAACCUCCAAGGACGCGCGCUGCACGGCCCUCAAAACUGUUGCGCCGCCCUUAUCGUAGUUCUGCAGAACCCCCUUUUAUCGUUCUUCGAUAAGAACGGGACAGAUACUAAAGGACGCCGUACUAACCAGCUGCGAAGACACUGCAAUCCUGGCAUGAACCAUGGCAGCCAUGAAAGUCAUUUUGCUCGUCACGUUCAUUGCGUCCAUUAUCGUGCUGACAGCAGCCAGAGCUCUGACCUCUCAUGAUGCGUCCGAGCAGGAUAACAGCAUCAUACGCGUAUUAGGACCACUGGUGUUAGCAGGAGGCGUUCCUUCUCCAGUGGAGCGUGUCUCGACAGAGCGAGUCAAGCAAGGUCUUCCUACCAGCAGGGUGUCACGGCAAGGGGAAUCAGUGCCCACAUCACAUCACAGAACGCACGUUAAAUUUGCAUGAAAAGAUUCAUCAUCGUAUACGUCAUCACAAACUUUGCGGGACGCCAUCACAUUGUUGUGUAGGAGAGUAUACACAUCUUUUACCUUUUUUAUUUUGUGUUGUACAGGAAAGGUCUAUGUACAGUUCUUUAUUGUAUGUGUUGCUUACGUGAAAUUCACGAUGAAACUAGUAUGGUUUUGACAAUCUUAAAGGGUACACUAAAAUGCAAAAACAACUUGUUCUCAAAUGAAAGUCCGUGUUUCAAUUAGUGUAAUGCAAGCAAAAUUAGUUCACACAGCGCUACCGUUUAGAAAAAGAAAAAAAAAGAUCCCCUGGAGGCAAAGAUCGGCGGCAUCCAAUGAGACAACAGGAUAAGCGCUCGCAUAUACCUUCGUGGGCGUGUUGAUUUGGAACGGGUCCGAUCGUAUAGUGUUCCGUAUAUGUAUGCGCGGCAUUAUGCGCACUGCUGCAUUUUUCAAUACCGAUUCACUGAAUUGUAGUCAACAACAGUUCUCGUGAGUGUUGCACUGACAACAUUUAUCUUCACGCCCAUCGGACAGCGACGCGCACUAUGUUUUUUUCACCGGGACUACUCCAUGGCGUGCACGCGCAGCACGGACAAAAAAACAACGAUGCACGCGCUGAAACGACGUUCACUGCGUAGCGCCGAAGCAAGAAAGAGUCCGAUAUAAUUUCCAUUCUAGCUCCGUAACGGAAUCAAAGUUUUGAAUUAUGGUAACAAAUAGGAAAAUUAACAUAGCGUGUAACGUAAUUUCAAGUGAACUUGUUUUUCCAUUUUAGUGCCCCUUUAAAGCUUUAUUAUUACUGUUUGUAUGGUUGCGGAGCAGUUACUGCACAGGAGGAACUCAUUGUAGUGUACAGCAUGUGUGUUUCUGCAGAGCUUGCUUUGUUCCUCUGGUGACAACGUUGUGUAUUAAAUGGCCUACUCCUCAAUAAUGCAAUGUGCUGUUGGACACCGUAGUUAACAUGUAGAAUUCUGUGGCUGACGGAUUAAGAACAAGAAAGUCGAACGUUUUACGUUCGGACAGGAUGUAGUGACUCGUGCACGGUUUCGGAUCAAGCUUUGCUGCCAAUAAUAAAUAUUACAAAUUAUAACAAUAUUACAAAAAUUAUAAUAAUUACAAGAAUACACUGCAUGAUUGCAUUUUGUAACUUAUAAAUAAAAUAUGAUAUAAAAUAAA
Ornithodoros turicata is the source of this 1641-nucleotide long non-coding RNA. RefSeq lists it as uncharacterized. The transcript is spliced from 2 exons. The record is from RefSeq and is a predicted model, not a curated record. Lineage: Eukaryota; Metazoa; Arthropoda; Arachnida; Ixodida; Argasidae.